Molecule: ribosomal RNA, 547 nt
Filed under: uncultured bacterium
Lineage: Bacteria
Description: bacterial SSU rRNA
Rfam family: Bacterial small subunit ribosomal RNA
Source: RNAcentral
UGGGGAAUAUUGCGCAAUGGGGGCAACCCUGACGCAGCCAUGCCGCGUGAAUGAAGAAGGCCUUAGGGUUGUAAAGUUCUUUCGGUAUUGAGGAAGGUUGAUGUGUUAAUAGCACAUCAAAUUGACGUUAAAUACAGAAGAAGCACCGGCUAACUCCGUGCCAGCAGCCGCGGUAAUACGGAGGGUGCGAGCGUUAAUCGGAAUAACUGGGCGUAAAGGGCACGCAGGCGGUUAUUUAAGUGAGGUGUGAAAGCCCUGGGCUUAACCUAGGAAUUGCAUUUCAGACUGGGUAACUAGAGUACUUUAGGGAGGGGUAGAAUUCCACGUGUAGCGGUGAAAUGCGUAGAGAUGUGGAGGAAUACCGAAGGCGAAGGCAGCCCCUUGGGAAUGUACUGACGCUCAUGUGCGAAAGCGUGGGGAGCAAACAGGAUUAGAUACCCUGGUAGUCCACGCUGUAAACGCUGUCGAUUUGGGGGUUGGGGUUUAACUCUGGCGCCCGUAGCUAACGUGAUAAAUCGACCGCCUGGGGAGUACGGCCGCAAGGUUA